Rhododendron vialii is the source of this 1527-nucleotide long non-coding RNA. RefSeq lists it as uncharacterized. The record is from RefSeq and is a predicted model, not a curated record. NCBI's taxonomy places the organism in Eukaryota, Viridiplantae, Streptophyta, Magnoliopsida, Ericales, Ericaceae. The transcript is spliced from 5 exons.
AUGCUUGUGCUGGGGAAGGUAGUCAUGCUAUUUAGUCCAGCCUGGGCUUACAACGCUGAUCCUGUACAACAUCCACAGGAUUGGCAUGUUGUGCCUUUGAGCCACUUUUGAUACACAAAUUCCCCUCCAAGUUACUCUUGAUGUCAAUGUAGUUUCUUUUUCAAGCCAUAAUUUGUGCCUUUUUAGUAUGUAGUGCAUAUUUUCAAGUGUAAUCAAUUGGUUUUAUGCUGGUGCCUGGUGGGCCCAUGAUUUUGGCGUUCGAUGGCUUCAAUUACUUUGUUUUCAUCAUACUGGUCACUAGUGUAACUACUUUUGGUCCUUUUUUCGUCUUUCUUUUUGUUUGUACUGCUAUUCGGCAAAUGCAUGGUUUGUUUCCCCCAUUUUGCUUCUGUCUAUCCUGUGAAGUAAAAGAGCCUUGAAGCCAAUUGAAUGGCUCGGCAAUUUUUGUCCGAAUUUUCCAAUUGAGCUCCUCCAUUGGCCAGGCUCCCUUUAUAACUCUAAGGUAAUUUCAUCUUUCUGGGUUAAUUUGUGUUGGUGGAUUAUUGUGAUGGGCAAUUAAGUCUUUUCGGCACCAUGAUACCAGAACUGCGCUUCUAGAGCACUACUUUGCCGAACGAGAUCAGCUGCCGUCCUUCGCGAUUGGUCUCUACGCCACUUAAUUGCUCUGGUUCGUCGAACUGCGGUGUUGAAAUCUCAUCUCAAAGGUUGACACUUUCUCUUCGGCAGAUCUCGGAACAACAUACUCGUGCGUUGGGAGCACGACCCCAUCGAGAUCAUCGCUAACAACCAAGGGAUCCGUAUGAGUUUGGUCCAUUCAUCUUCCAUUCCUCUGCCUCUGUGCUUAUCUCAUGAGUUGGGCUAACGACGUGAACAAAUGGGUUAUGUCGAGUUGAGUUUUCCAUAAAUUUAUAGUCGCUUCGAGUGCGUCAAAACCACACCCAUAAAGGACGAGGAAUUGGAAGGAAUUGAAGACGUCUACGGUGUCUAUGAGAAUAUUGACCACGAAACUUUAGCAAUCGAUGUGAAAACACUCGAAGAAAAUGCAAAAGAAUCGAUUCGAAAAGUUUUGCGAUGUAAGUUAGCAUCUACAAUUAGGGACUUAUUUUUAAAAUUUUCCUAACUCACCAAGCAGAGCUUCAUCAUUGCAUUUUUUAUAAGCUAGGAGGAGAUUACUUCUCAAGAACUUCUUAGCCGAAGUCAGCAGAGCUGAGAGUCAAAACAAAGCCCAUAGGCCAUUGUUAUAUGCAAACGAUGACAGAGUUAUGGAAGUGAUGUUUGCAGCUUUCGGCUAGUGAGGUACAACAGAAAGUCUGCUUCGUAGAACUUGGCACUUUCUUCUCCUAUAUAUUUUUACUUCUCACCCUUUCUUAUUAUAUGUAAAACAUGGGUUGUAAUUAUUUAAUACUUUCGGCAGGUGAUAUAUGAAUAUAAGUGAUGAUUAUUUUAUCUUUUUCUCGUACUAAUGUCUAGAGUUUCUAUUAAGAUUGCCAGAGAAUAAAUGGACACCACUGCCUCACUGAUUCUGGU